RNAcentral lists this long non-coding RNA (1188 nucleotides) under Sus scrofa (pig). Its description in RNAcentral is "lncRNA (ENSSSCG00070001735.1)". Lineage: Eukaryota; Metazoa; Chordata; Mammalia; Artiodactyla; Suidae. The record is from RNAcentral.
GAAAUAUGUGAAACUACAGGUGCAAACAGGUUGAUUUUAAGUUGCCUGGAGACAGAUCUCCUAAUGAGCUUCACUUCCCUGGAAGAACAGAAGGAGUUCAGGAAAUUUAAUAGUGCUAGACACUGCCAACCUUUCCUACCCAGAAAAAAAAGCUUCCUAGCUACCGCUGCAGUUCCAGACACAAGAACUUGGAUUUGUUUCCUCAAUGGACAUCACAUGCUACCCCCAAUAAACCAGCGCUUUGGUAACACGCAACAGGAAACGCGCGCCUCUGCAAGUGGACUCCGCGCCACGCUCGCGGAGCAGAAACCCCAUCAGAGCCCUCCAAGUAUUACUUGACGCGAGAGCCCAGAGGCUUCUAGCUCCUAACCCUGCGGCCGCGCCCCUGUGUGUUCCUGUUGGCAUACCAAGAGCUAAGACAGCAGCAGAAAGAGCCCGCCUACUUUUUGCCCAACAACAGCACGACUCCUAUGUCCAAACCGGCGGCUUGAACAAACCAGUAGGUGUGAGCAGAACAAAAAGCUCAGCCCCACCAGUAGCCCACCCGCCAGAAAUAAGCGCCCUAGAAAUCCCAGACACCAUCCUUCACAGGCCCCAGGAAGAAACGAAAACUAAACCUCACAGCAACCAAGCGUCACUGACUCAAAUCAAAACGAAACCGAUCCUCGAGCUCCCUAAAAAGCGAAAAUACCUACCUUCAGUGGCUUUUCCUUGGAAGCUGACGAUGAUCCAACAAAGUCAGGGUUCCCUGCUCCACACUUUCUCCCUCAGUCUUUGCCAACACACGAGAAGGGAAGCACAGGCCACAAACGGCGGUAACUGUGCUCCAACACCACCAGAGAGCUUUGAUGCACGAAACGGAGAUCUUCGCCCCACAGCAGAUCGCUCUGACCGAGAGACAAAUAGCUGCAGCAUAGGAACAGGAACGGCAUUCUUGCUGUGCCAAGUCUGGAACAGUGAGUCUCUUCAAGCUAGGGGAUGGUUCUCCCCCCCCAGUGGAGAAGAACAGCUCUCUCCGGGCGCUCUACCAAAGCGCCCAGACGCUCCUGCCAGCCGCUGGAGAGUCUCCUGCAGGACCCGUUCUAAGAUCAGGAGAGGCGGGAGUGUACAGCUUCUCCAACGACGCACUCCAAAGGACUGCCCUCUGUCCCGCGGCAGCGCGGCCUUGCCUUAUAUACCCACCUCGCG